CCUGGCUCAACCAGGAAUCAGCGAUCAAAACUGAUUAGCUAGAGGGCAAGAGAGAGAAGUGGAAUUCUCGGAGUAGCGGUAAAAUGCGUAGAUCUCGAGAGGAACACCGGUUGCGAAGGCGGCUUCUUGGCUUGUUUCUGACGCUCAAGCGCGAAAGCGUGGGGAGCAAACAGGAUUAGAUACCCUGGUAGUCCACGCUGUAAACUAUGAGAACUCGGUGUAGGAGGUAUCGACCCCUUCUGUGCCUAAGCUAACGCGUUAAGUUCUCCGCCUGAGUAGUACGAUCGCAAGAUUAAAACUCAAAGGAAUAGACGGGGACCCACACAAGCGGUGGAGCGUGUGGUUUAAUUCGAUAGUAAGCGAGGAACCUUACCUAGGCUUGACAUCUAGAGAAUCUUUUGGAAACAAGAGAGUGCCUCACGGAACUCUAAGACAGGUGCUGCAUGGUUGUCGUCAGCUCGUGCCUUGAGGUGUUCGGUUAAGUCCGUAAACGAGCGCAACCCAUGUGCUGUGUUGCAUUUUUCACAGCAGACUGCCGAUUCAAAGUCGGAGGAAGGUAUGGAUGACGUCAAAUCAGCAUGGCCUUUAUGCCUAGGGCCGCACAGAUGCUACAAUGGUCAGUACAGCAGGUAGCAAAGCAGUAAUGCCGAGCCAAUCCUAUAAAGCUGAUCUUAGUUCGAAUUGAGGGCUGCAACUCGCCCUCAUGAAGUUGGAAUCGCUAGUAACCGCGCAUCAGCCAUGGCGCGGUGAAUAUGUUCCUGGGUCUUGUACUCACCGCCCGUCACACUAUGAAAGAUGGGAGCACCCGAAGUACCCUUAGCUUUUAGCGGGGUCCUAAGGUGAAACCAUUGAUUGGAGUGAAGUCGUAACAAGGUAUCCGUAGGAGAACCUGCGGAUGGAAUAUCUCUUUU
This 911-nucleotide ribosomal RNA is filed under the name bacterium. RNAcentral describes it as "bacterial SSU rRNA". It matches the Rfam family "Bacterial small subunit ribosomal RNA", at positions 603 to 1533 of the family's 1533-position model. The record is from RNAcentral.